Molecule: long non-coding RNA, 466 nt
Organism: Ostrea edulis (European flat oyster)
Lineage: Eukaryota; Metazoa; Mollusca; Bivalvia; Ostreida; Ostreidae
Exons: 2
Source: RefSeq, a predicted model, not a curated record
AAAAGCAUAUUGUGCCGUUACCUAUUUUCGAUAGUAUCCUAAUUUCGAUAGGUUAUUAUUUUUAACGAUCAUUCGAUAAUUGUAAUGUCAUUUUUCGGAAUGUUUUUCCCAAAAUCAGCGUCAGUAACAAGAAGUGUCAGAUAGCCAAAAAGAUCGAGAAUUACGCUUUUCAAAGAGAUAUUUUCCAUCCAGAGAGGAAAUUAUAAGAAUGAUGAUCCAGAGGCCUUGGGCAAUGCUUUCCAGUCGAUAAAAUAUGGAAUGAGUGUCCAUGCUGAAUUGUUACUGCCAAAUGUUUCCAAGUCCCCUAGACAACUUUAAAAUAUGAUAAAUGGGCGUAAUAACAUUGGGUGUGUGUCUUCAGGACCUUCACCACUAUUUAAAAUUGUUUGAAGUUGCUUUAUUUGUUCAUUAUUUAAUGUAAUCAAUUUGGUCGAAAAAAUAAGAAUAAAAGAAUCAUUCUAUUUAA